This 445-nucleotide ribosomal RNA is filed under the name uncultured bacterium. Its description in RNAcentral is "partial 16S ribosomal RNA". It matches the Rfam family "Bacterial small subunit ribosomal RNA", at positions 354 to 796 of the family's 1533-position model. The record is from RNAcentral.
GUGAGGAAUAUUGGUCAAUGGGCGCAAGCCUGAACCAGCCAUCCCGCGUGAAGGAAGAAGGCCCUACGGGUUGUAAACUUCUUUUCUGUUUGAAGAAUAAGCUCGUCGAGACGAGUGAUGCCGGUAGGACAGGAAUAAGCAUCGGCUAACUCCGUGCCAGCAGCCGCGGUAAUACGGAGGAUGCAAGCGUUAUCCGGAUUUAUUGGGUUUAAAGGGUGCGCAGGUGGUUUAAUAAGUCAGUGGUGAAAGUCUGGCGCUUAACGUUAGGAUUGCCAUUGAUACUGUUAGACUUGAAUAUGGAUGAGGUAGGCGGAAUGUGUAGUGUAGCGGUGAAAUGCUUAGAUAUUACACAGAACACCGAUUGCGAAGGCAGCUUACUAAUCCAUCAUUGACGCUGAGGCACGAAAGCGUGGGGAUCAAACAGGAUUAGAAACCCGAGUAGUCC